GAGGAGGGAGCCGAAGGAGAAGGGCGCGAUGGCCUCCGGCUGCGCGCCGGCCUCGAACCACGGCACGCCGCUCCACGCCUGCCCGACGAAGAUCCCCAGCACCGCCGCCAUCGCCCACCGCCCGUGGAUCAGCUCCGCCUCCCUGUACCACUUGAGGAACGCCGGGUCCUUGCCCAGCCCCAGCGGGUCGAAGCCGAAGUCACCGGGGAGCGAGCCAUCGAGCCACGGCGGGUUGAUGAACUCGGCGUCGCUCUUGAAGGCCGGGAUCCACGACUUCUUGGCCGACACGACGAGCGCGCGGCGCGGCGCGGGCUUGGCGCCCGCGACGCCGACGGCAUUGGCGAGCGCGCGCUUCGCCCCGAGGAAGGGCGUCUUGAGCACGGCCGCGGACGCGGUGGCGGAGGUGGAGGCGAGCGCCAUGGUCGUCGUCGUCGUAGGGGGGCUCUCUCUUCCGGUGGCG
Molecule: unclassified non-coding RNA, 460 nt
Filed under: Hevea brasiliensis (rubber tree)
Lineage: Eukaryota; Viridiplantae; Streptophyta; Magnoliopsida; Malpighiales; Euphorbiaceae
Source: RNAcentral